Molecule: microRNA precursor, 103 nt
Filed under: Marmota monax (woodchuck)
Lineage: Eukaryota; Metazoa; Chordata; Mammalia; Rodentia; Sciuridae
Source: RNAcentral
AGUCGGAUAGCUGGCUCAAAUGGUGCUUCAAUUCCCAGUUUUCCAGGGAAUAUCCAUACUGCUUUCCAGAGUGGUUGUAUCCAUUUGCAAUGCCACCAGCAAU